This is a long non-coding RNA of Cygnus olor (mute swan), 1398 nucleotides long. RefSeq lists it as uncharacterized. The transcript is spliced from 6 exons. Lineage: Eukaryota; Metazoa; Chordata; Aves; Anseriformes; Anatidae. The record is from RefSeq and is a predicted model, not a curated record.
CCAAGAACUCCUGUCCUAAGAGGCUUGAGGAACAAAACGCCUUUGAAGUUUCUGCAGACAUGGUGUUACAGAAGGCACAGCCUGCGCCUGUUGGCAGCCUGUGCCAGCUGAGGACAGGAGUUGGUGCACUGCUUUCUGUGGCCGUAGGACUGGACUCUGCAGGAGGAGGAUUUCAGACAGCCACCACAGCACCUCUGCACUCUUUUUGUCUGGAUGCUGCUAAAAUCUGAGCAAACCCUUCAGGCAGACGUCAAGGAACAACCAGAAAAUCCAACCCCCGGCCCCAGAUAAUUCCCUCGGCACAAAAGGCAUCAGCUGGAAGCUCUGCAGUCCCUCUCCUGCAUCAGGUCCCUGCUGAAAAGUUGCUGCACAGUGUUACAGGGUGGUUCCUGGCCUUCGAUUCUGACAUACAGCAGCUGUUACGCUGAAAGGAAUUUCUGAACUGUGCUCAAGUCCCUGGAAGCUUCUCCCCGCUGGACAAUGGCUGUCUACUUCCUGCAGUUCCUCUUCAUAUCUAGCUGUUCAGCAACAUAUGUGUAAGGGGUUUGUGCUUUCAGCUGCUUCCCAGUGGACAUGACUGUACAUCAGACCUGUGGUGGGCACCUUGGCUGACAGGCUCAGCACAACGCAACCUCCCCCCACAUGCUCUAGGUCUGGCGUGAAGAGUGUUGGCAAGGACAUACUGAUUUGCAUUACAAGGCUUGGAAGAAAACAUGCAUUUCAUCUGCUAUGACAGUUGGCCUUCUGAAUUACACUUAUCAGCCAUAUUAGCCCAGUGACAUUUGGCAGAAGAGGACCAGAGGUUGGUAGUAGUAUUCUUGCAUAUCAGGGACAAUGCAUGGCUCUGGAUUUCUGCAUUCUCUUCUGCACUUCAGUGGCAUUUUAAAAUGUGACAGCUGUGAAUUAGCUCAGCUAUUUACUGGCUAGAUUGCACAUGGCUCACUGACAGAGAAGGUGCAAUAGAUUUUUUUCUUCCCUUCACUUAGUGUUUGCUAUCCACCAGGAAAGCUGCUGCAGCCAAAUAUAAUAGCGGUCACAGGCCUGUGUAAGACUCUGCUGAUCUAUUUGCCUUGCUAAUUUCCAUAGACAGUUAUGUUUGCAUCUGCGGUCUGUCUCGGCAGGAGGAUCUUCCUUUUACAACGGUGUGUGGUUGUGCUAUGUGAUAAUGAAGAUGAAGGAGGCUGCGCACCUGAAUUCCAGCCCUGGCAGAGUCUCGAGGCUCACCCUUGUGAGCUGUUGUUCGGGUGCUAAUGGUGCUUCUGCCUCUCACAUGGUCUGCCUGAUUGGUGUUCCCUGCUGAAUUGUACUCUGUAAUGAGCAGUAAUGCAUCAUGUGAAGUUCACGUAGCCCCUGUGCCACUACUUUGUCUUCCUCAGUAGGAAAAGAAAAAAUAAAAAC